UAUAGCGAUAGCUAAUUGUAUUUAAACAGUAAUGGAUACAAUAUUGACUAUGUCAAAUAAAAUUCUAGGCAGAAUUAUGAUAAUGACAUUGUCUGCCUAUGUGUCUUGACCAAAUUACGUGCCAGCAGUCGCGGUAAUACGUAGAAGACUAGUGUUAUUCAUCUUUAAUAGGUUUAAAGGGUACCUAGACGGUAAAUCAAGCCUAAAAAGGGGACUAAUUUACUAGAGUUACUUGUGAGGGGGCACUAAAGUACUGAUGGUGUAGAGAUAGAAUUCUGUAAUACCUUUUUCGUAAAGAAAGCAAUGGCACAGGUAUAGGCGAAAGCAUCCCCUUAUGUGAUAACUGACGUUGAAGGACGAAGGCUUUGUGCAGCGAACAGGAUUAGAUACCCUAGUAGUCGAAGCAGAAAAUGAUGAAUGUCAUAGAUUAGACAUAUAAGUUUAUUCUAUAAAUGAAAGUGUAAGCAUUCCACCUCAAGAGUAAUAUGGCAACAUUGGAACUGAAAUCAUUAGACCGUUUCUGAAACCAGUAGUGAAGUAUGUUGUUUAAUUUGAUGACCCGCAAAAAACCUUACCACAACUUGAAUAUUUAUAGAUAUACCUUUUUAUUAAUAAAAAGAUUAUAGAUAUAUUUACAAGCGUUGCACGGGCUG
RNAcentral lists this ribosomal RNA (653 nucleotides) under Lecanora sp. Its description in RNAcentral is "SSU rRNA". It matches the Rfam family "Bacterial small subunit ribosomal RNA", at positions 414 to 1052 of the family's 1533-position model. Lineage: Eukaryota; Fungi; Ascomycota; Lecanoromycetes; Lecanorales; Lecanoraceae. The record is from RNAcentral.